This 1242-nucleotide long non-coding RNA is filed under the name Homo sapiens (human). Its description in RNAcentral is "HSALNT0173055". The record is from RNAcentral. Lineage: Eukaryota; Metazoa; Chordata; Mammalia; Primates; Hominidae.
UUGAUUUAUGCCUACUCACAUAUACUUGGUACAUGCACGUUCCUUAGAGGAGGGGAGAUAGGAAGACACACAUGUAAAUUUCCACCUCAGUUUGGAAACAGAUACUGCAAUCCCAGAAAAUCUUGCCAUAAGAAGAGCCUAGCCAAUAGUUUGACUGCGAUUUCAUGGGAGACCUCAAGGCAGAGUGAUCCAGGAGAAUACCACAGUCUGGAGGCUAUGAAGUCCAUGAUUAAGAAGCCAGCACGUUUGCUUUCUGGUUCCAAGAUGGCAUACCUUUUUGCUGCUUCCUCCAGAGAGGAGGAACACUGUGUUCUCACAUAGUAGAAGAUGGAAGGAGCAGGUGCAGAUGAGCAUGGCAAUGUGAGAAUAUGUCAGAGGCCCCAGGAUGAAAUGAGCUCAAGUCCCUGAAAUCCCUGUUAGAAGAGUCUUUCCACUGGUUGGGAAUGCUAAUUGUAUUUUGAGAACUCAAUGUUUCAGCAACUCAAAAUGUUACAGCUUCUGCAUUGGAAUAAAAAAGAAAACAGAAUUUGUACUCAUAUCAGAAGGCAAUCAAAGAACAUACACAUAAUAUACAUUCUAUUAUAGAGGCCCCAAGCUGUAUGAACUUUAGACCCCACAUAACCUGAAUCCAACCCUGCUUAUAAUGUCCAAGUUGUAAGGAAUCAAUACUUAUUAAAUGUUGACAAAUAAAGGGAAAUAAUUAGGAGAAGAAAUGCUUACUGCCAAUACCAUGACAGAUAACAAAUUAUCAGGCAGAAGAACAAGACCAACUAUGCAAGCAUAUUUCAAACCUCUGCUCACCACAUUAUAAUCUGCUAAUAUGCCAUUGGACAAAGCAUCUCACAUAGCCAUAUAUUGUGUCUCAAGAGUCAGAAGGUGUGACCUGUCACCCUGAAGUCAUCAUGUAUCUUAGCAUGCAGAGAAGGGACUGAAUGAAUAUGCCCAAAGAUGUGUAACACUCAUUGUCUCUGGGGAGAUGAAGAAGAAGUAUGGAAGAAGUAAGAUGAAGAAGAAGUAUGGAAGAAGUAAGGUGUCUGUGUAACCUCAUUCUUCCUGGACAUGGGACAAGAACUUGGGACCCGCUGAAUGAUGGGAGCAAAAGGAGCUGUAUCAUGUUCCUGGCCAGCUGGCUAAACUGCAGAUGGUGACAUGCUCCCAGACUGUGGGAGUGAAGAGUGGCAACCCUUCUGGCGGCUUUAGAACCAUGCAGAAAGAAGAGUGCUUCACAGAAUGAUUGCUUUA